UACGUAGGGGGCAAGCGUUAUCCGGAAUCAUUGGGCGUAAAGCGCGUGUAGGCGGUUCCGUAAGUCCGCUCUGAAAGCCCAGGGCUCAACCCUGGGAGGCGGGUGGAUACUACGGAACUGGAGUACGGAAGAGGAGAUUGGAAUUCCUGGUGUAGCGGUGAAAUGCGCAGAUAUCAGGAGGAACACCAACAGCGAAGGCAGAUCUCUGGGACGUUACUGACACUGAGGCGCGAAAGCGUGGGGAGCGAACAGG
Molecule: ribosomal RNA, 253 nt
Filed under: uncultured bacterium
Lineage: Bacteria
Description: partial 16S ribosomal RNA
Rfam family: Bacterial small subunit ribosomal RNA
Source: RNAcentral